Molecule: ribosomal RNA, 253 nt
Filed under: uncultured bacterium
Lineage: Bacteria
Description: partial 16S ribosomal RNA
Rfam family: Bacterial small subunit ribosomal RNA
Source: RNAcentral
UACGUAGGUGACCAGCGUUGUCCGGAUUUACUGGGCGUAAAGAGCGCGCAGGCGGUCGUUCAAGUCGAGUGUGAAAGCCCCCGGCUCAACUGGGGAGGGUCAUUCGAUACUGAUCGACUCGAAGGCAGGAGAGGGUAGUGGAAUUCCAGGUGUAGCGGUGAAAUGCGUAGAUAUCUGGAGGAACACCGGUGGCGAAGGCGGCAUCCUGGACCGACACUGACGCUGAGGAGCGAAAGCCAGGGGAGCAAACGGG